GAUGAACGCUGGCGGCGUGCCUAAUACAUGCAAGUCGAGCGGACGGACGAGACGCUUGUUUCUCUCAUGUUAGCGGAGGACGGGUGAGUCACACGUGGAUCCCCUCCUUAUAUGUCUGGGAUCACCUCGGGAAUCCGGCUAUUAUCCCAGAUGAUAUUCUGAACCGCAUGGUUCAAAAGUGAAAUACGGUCUUGCUGUAUCUUAUCGAUGCAUCUGCGCUGCAUUAGCUAGUUGGUACGGUCAAGGCUUAUCAAGGCUACGAUGCAUAGCCGACCUGAGAGGGUGAUCGGCCACACUGGAACGGAGACACGGUCCAUACGCCUACGGGAGGCAGCAGUAGGGAAUCUUCCGCAAUGGUCGAAAGCCUUACGGAGCAACGCCGCGUGAGUGAUGAAGGUCUUCGGAUCGGAAAACUCUGUUAUGAGGUAAGAACAGAUGUGGAAGGAGCUGUGGAGAGCUUGACGGUACCGAAUCAAAAAGCAACGGCUAACUACGUG
RNAcentral lists this ribosomal RNA (497 nucleotides) under uncultured bacterium. RNAcentral's name for it is "partial 16S ribosomal RNA". It matches the Rfam family "Bacterial small subunit ribosomal RNA", at positions 28 to 507 of the family's 1533-position model. The record is from RNAcentral.